CCCUUAGAUGUCCUGGGCCGCACGCGCGCUACACUGACAUGUUCAACAAGCCUCCUAGUUCGACAGGAUUUGGGAAAUCUUUGAACGCAUGUCGUGAUAGGGAUAGAUCAUUGCAAUUAUUGAUCUUGAACGAGGAAUUCCUAGUAAACGCGAGUCAUCAGCUCGCAUUGAUUACGUCCCUGCCCUUUGUACACACCGCCCGUCGCACCUACCGAUUGAAUGUUUCGGUGAAGAUUCCGGAUAGGACUUUUUUGAUUUAUUUCAAUUCCGUCUUAAAAGCUAUCUAAACCUCAACAUUUAGAGGAAGGUGAAGUCGUAACA
Molecule: ribosomal RNA, 321 nt
Filed under: uncultured eukaryote
Lineage: Eukaryota
Description: partial 18S ribosomal RNA
Rfam family: Eukaryotic small subunit ribosomal RNA
Source: RNAcentral